UGGCGACCGGCGCACGGGUGCGUAACGCGUAUGCAACCUGCCCAUAACAGGGGCAUAACACUGAGAAAUUGGUACUAAUUCCCCAUAACAUUCGAGAAGGCAUCUUCUUGGGUUAAAAACUCCGGUGGUUAAAGAUGGGCAUGCGUUGUAUUAGCUAGUUGGUGAGGUAACGGCUCACCAAGGCAACGAUACAUAGGGGGACUGAGAGGUUAACCCCCCACAUUGGUACUGAGACACGGACCAA
RNAcentral lists this ribosomal RNA (244 nucleotides) under uncultured bacterium. RNAcentral's name for it is "partial 16S ribosomal RNA". It matches the Rfam family "Bacterial small subunit ribosomal RNA", at positions 89 to 334 of the family's 1533-position model. The record is from RNAcentral.